RNAcentral lists this long non-coding RNA (413 nucleotides) under Dasypus novemcinctus (nine-banded armadillo). RNAcentral's name for it is "lncRNA (ENSDNOG00000052468.1)". Lineage: Eukaryota; Metazoa; Chordata; Mammalia; Cingulata; Dasypodidae. The record is from RNAcentral.
CCACCAUGUGGGCUGACUGGUGCACGGAUAAACAGGACACUUCUGGAUUGCUUCUGCUUUUGACAGCAUCAACAACCCUGGUUACCAACACCAUCCCCAAAGCCAGCGAAAUAUAAUCUCACUGCCUCUCUCCUGGUGUGCUCCCCAACCCCUGUGGUGUAAAGUAGAGCAGACAGAAAGGAUGACAUUUCUGAAUUUAGAGACUGCAAAGAGCGAAGAAAAACAAGCAUCUGUGGCCCUCCAGGACCCACCAGGUGAGAAAAUGGAGGCUCAGAGAGGUUACAUGCCCAGCUGAACUCAGUUGAAUACGACGCACCAGAUCUGUUUUUCAGCAUGGGGACCUCCAAGGGACGCUUGAGUUGAGUGAGCUGUUUUCCUCCGCAUAUACCUCACCACUGCAGGGGGCCUUCCUC